RNAcentral lists this small nucleolar RNA (213 nucleotides) under Glossina morsitans morsitans. RNAcentral's name for it is "small nucleolar RNA U3". It matches the Rfam family "Small nucleolar RNA U3". Rfam says of the family: Small nucleolar RNAs (snoRNAs) are involved in the processing and modification of rRNA in the nucleolus. Lineage: Eukaryota; Metazoa; Arthropoda; Insecta; Diptera; Glossinidae. The record is from RNAcentral.
AAGACUAUACUUCACAGGAUCAUUUCUGUAGUCAGUCUUCAUUUAUUGCCAUCACAAGAUGGCCAUAACUCUACCCGCGAUGACGAGUUAUGUCGUUUUACCUGGAGCGUGAGGUUAUGAACAUUGUCGGUUCAGUUCGCCAUUAUGGUGGGCUGGGGAACAAUGUUUCUUCGAUGAUCGCUUGAUUAACGGGUAAAACGAUUUCAGAGUGGU